UCAUCCGAGCCUCCAAAAAACCAAAUUUACAAAUUGAUAGUGCAUUGCAUAUAAUUUGAUAUCCACAACAGAUUCUGACAACUGAACUUAAUAAACAAAAUCAGUACAUUGGAUAGUAAAUUUGACACUUUUACUCUCAAUUAAUUUAGUAGCAUAACAUAUGUUACAACUACAGUAUUGACUUAUUCAGCUUUAAAAC
Molecule: long non-coding RNA, 199 nt
Filed under: Gossypium barbadense (sea-island cotton)
Lineage: Eukaryota; Viridiplantae; Streptophyta; Magnoliopsida; Malvales; Malvaceae
Description: long non-coding RNA (GBAR_LNC001330)
Source: RNAcentral